UCCUCCACACUGAUGACCUGCUCAGUCUCCAGCUGGGUCAAUUAACAAACAGCUUCAAAAGUUUAAAACCCAGCUGGAGCUCAGCUGACACCCACUGGCUCAAAGGAAACAAUGGAGAAAAAGGUCAUUAAAGAUAUGAAAAGCUUUGAGUGCUCCUCUCCAUCAGAGCUCGACAGGAAGUUUUUUGGGGAACACAGUUUGCUGUCUGCUUUGUCGCUGGAACAACUGUCCACAUCAAGAACCUCAAAUGAUGCAGAGGCUGAUGGAUCUGACACAAGGUUGUCCGUCCUGGCUUCUCUCUGCCUCUCGUCAGACCCCAUCUCUCCCUCUCAAGCCUUUCCAAUGGGCAGCGUAAAUUCUCAAGACACUGACAAUUGUUACCUAGCAGUACCUCUACAAGGAAAGUCCUCUACACCCCAGAUACUCCUUCAAAAGCAGCAGAAGAAGGCUGCUUGUUUUGACCAGCUGUACAGUGAUGUCGCUGCCUCUCAGAUGUCAUGGGAUGUGUCCUUGAUUAAACCAGAGAGCAACAGUCCCAAACCCUACAUGGAGUCCAGUGGUCUGGAGCAAACAUGGAGUCCAAAACCCCCGUCUACACAAUAUUCACUUGCUGAGGUUUCUCCCUGACGUGGCAGACUGUCCUUCAAACACCUUCACCCUCACAAACUCACCGGUUUGGAGUUUUUCAGCUGUACAUGAUUGUCUGCCUCUGCACCCACCAUGCAUCAAGGAUGACUUAAAGUGGAUUUUAAAAUGUUCUGUGUGUACGUGAAGGAUCCAUGUGUGAAGAUUAAUGCAGAGAUUUUUUUUUUUUUUUAAAAGCUGUGAAUAUUUAAAUAAAACUGAACUUUAUC
This is a long non-coding RNA of Larimichthys crocea (large yellow croaker), 854 nucleotides long. RefSeq lists it as uncharacterized. Lineage: Eukaryota; Metazoa; Chordata; Actinopteri; Sciaenidae. The transcript has 3 exons. The record is from RefSeq and is a predicted model, not a curated record.